Oncorhynchus tshawytscha (Chinook salmon) is the source of this 1300-nucleotide long non-coding RNA. The record is from Ensembl. NCBI's taxonomy places the organism in Eukaryota, Metazoa, Chordata, Actinopteri, Salmoniformes, Salmonidae.
UUUGUCUCUCCACUCCAGUGAUGAUCCAUUGCAAUAAGCCUCCAGUGAUGAUCCAUGGCACAAAGCCUCCAGUGAUGAUCCAUGGCACGAAGCCUCCAGUGAUGAUCCAUGGCACGAAGCCUCCAGUGAUGAUCCAUGGCAUGAAGCCUCCAGUGAGGAGUCAUGGCAUAAAGCCUCCAACGAAGGCCUCCAGUCCGGAGCUUCCAGCGAUGGCCUCCAGUCCGGAGUCUCCAGCAACGGCCUCCAGUCCGGAGCAUCCAGAGACAGUCUCCAGCCCGGAGCCCCCAGAGACGGCCUCCAGCCCGGGACCCGCAGCGAGGGCGCCCAGUCCGGGGCCCGCAACGGGGGCAACCCAGUCCGGGGCCCACAAUGAGGGGGCCCAGUCCGGGGUCGGCGACGAGGGUCCCCGCACCAGAGGUGCCACCAAAGUGAGGGAAGUCCCCUCCUGUUCCCUGAUUAAGAGGUGAUGAUUACUCGACUCCACUACAAUUGUCAACUUUCUCCUGACAUAAACUGAAGCCACAUCUCAUGUGCCUGCUCAUCCACUGGCACAUUGAAUGUUUCCCCUCCGAGCACUGAGUACCCCCUAUCAAUUUUCUCUCAUUACUUUUUUUGUCUUACCAGUCAAAUCCUGUACUGCACUGGUCAAGCCUCUGAACACCUCAACUCAUGCCUCAUUCAAUCACUGCUGUGAUCCCUUUCCAACAUGGUUCACCAGCCUCCACUGCUUUCAACAUACAGUAUGCCCGGACAUCUCCCGCUGUCACCCGAAGCAAGCCACUGAAACAGACUCACGCUAACAGAGCUGUACUGCUGGUUCCCAGUUAUUAUGUAGGCUAACGAAACUUUAGUUUGCAUGGCCUUUCCAUAUUAAAAAAGGAUGAAUCCAAUCUGUAAUGUGUCUGCGUUGCAGCAUUGCCCCUCUAUUCCCUACGCACACAUAAUCCACUAUCAAUAUUUAUAGAAAGACAAUAUGACAAAUUGAAUUGGUCAAACUGAUAAACAUGCAGUUAUUCAUUUGAUGUUUAAUUUAAUUGAAGACAUCAGUGUGUGCAUAUAGGAACUUUACAUGUUAUAGCCCAGAGUGCCCCUUAUGGAAAAACAACAUGAUUUCACAUGUGGAAAAUCAAAUGUUUUCAUUUCCAGAAGAUUUCACAUAACAUUUCCUCUUGUUUUGCACAUGUGAAUCUAUGUGUUUUUGGAACACUUCAAUUGUGAUAAUGUGGAUUUUUACGUGUGAAAAUAUAAGGUUUCACAUUUGGAUUCAAAUUUUCACGAUAUUUCAUAGGCGAUGCCCUGA